Oryza sativa Japonica Group (Japanese rice) is the source of this 195-nucleotide microRNA precursor. It matches the Rfam family "MIR812 microRNA precursor family". NCBI's taxonomy places the organism in Eukaryota, Viridiplantae, Streptophyta, Magnoliopsida, Poales, Poaceae. The record is from Rfam.
UUUAAACGCAGUCAUGAGUUUUUUUUCCAACUCUAAUUAUACGUAUUAUUUAAAAUUAUUUUAUGGUUAGUAUUUUUUAUUGUUAUUUUAUAAUAAAACAUAAAUAGUACUUUGUGUCUUAUUUAUGUGUUUUAAAUUUUUUUAAAUAAAACGAACAACAAAAAUUAGACAUGAAAACUCAUGUGUGCGCUUAAA